UACGAAGGGGGCUAGCGUUGCUCGGAAUUACUGGGCGUAAAGCGCACGUAGGCGGCUUGUUAAGUCGGGGGUGAAAUCCUGGAGCUCAACUCCAGAACUGCCUUCGAUACUGGCGAUCUCGAGUUCGGGAGAGGUGAGUGGAACUGCGAGUGUAGAGGUGAAAUUCGUAGAUAUUCGCAAGAACACCAGUGGCGAAGGCGGCUCACUGGCCCGGUACUGACGCUGAGGUGCGAAAGCGUGGGGAGCAAACAGG
Molecule: ribosomal RNA, 253 nt
Filed under: uncultured bacterium
Lineage: Bacteria
Description: partial 16S ribosomal RNA
Rfam family: Bacterial small subunit ribosomal RNA
Source: RNAcentral